This 5253-nucleotide long non-coding RNA is filed under the name Phaseolus vulgaris (common bean). RNAcentral's name for it is "long non-coding RNA (PVUL_LNC004649)". Lineage: Eukaryota; Viridiplantae; Streptophyta; Magnoliopsida; Fabales; Fabaceae. The record is from RNAcentral.
UGGGCAGUUUUAUUAUACUUUGAAACAGAGUCGACGCAAGACUAUGCAAUUGAUAGAGCAAACCUGCGGAAGCUUGAAAUGAGUCCAAGGAAGAAGCCUUGAUUAACAAGAGAGAAACAAGAAGCAAGAGAUGCAGAAACCCUAAGGUUGCAAUGAGAAGAACAGAGAUAGGGUAAAGCAAUGUCGUGAAGAAAAAGAAGAAGAAAGGGAAAAAGGAAUAUCAAUUCAAUAUUACUGAAAAACCCAAUCUGUCAAAGCAUUACAAAAGUGAAUAUAUGGUACUGGAAAGGAAAAAGUAGAAAUAAAGGCCCAAAGAUCCAGAGGCCCAAAAAAUAGAAAAACCCAAUAAAAACAUAACAAAUAUUCUUUAUCACCCCUCCUCAAGCUGGGAGUAUAAGUUCGUCAUUCCCAGCUUGGAUUGAAGCACAUUAAAGAUGGAAGGAGGUAAAGGCUUGGUGAAUAUAUCUGCUGUCUGCAUGGAGGAAGGGAUGGGAAGUAGCUUGAUCAGUCCAGCAUGUAGUUUUUCCCUAACCAGAUGGCAGUCGAUUUCUAUAUGUUUGGUCCGUUCGUGGAAUACUUGAUUGGAAGCAAUUUGUAUUGUUGACUGAUUAUCACAGUAAAGUGUGGCUGGUUGAAUGAAAGGAAUGUGGAAAUCAUGGAGCAGAUAGGAUAGCCAUUGUAUCUCGCAAGUGGUGGCUGCGAGAGCUCUAUACUCAGCCUCAGAUGAACUUCUGGAUAUGGUCUGUUGCUUUUUUGAUUUCCAGGAAAUGAGAGAGUCACCUAGAUAAAUAGAGAAACCUGUAACUGAUUUUCUUGUCUCAGUACAAGCUGCCCAAUCUGAAUCACUGUAUGCCUUGAGCUGGGUUGUGCUUGCUGCUAAAAGAAAAAUUCCAUGGCCAGGUGCAUUCUUGAGGUAUCGAAGGAUGCGAAAAACAGCAUGAUGAUGAACGGUGGUAGGUGCAGAAACAAAUUGGCUGAGCUUGUUCACGCUGAAUGUAAUGUCUGGUCUUGUGUUUGUCAAGUAGAUAAGGCGUCCUAGCAGUCUUCGGUAAGAGGAUGAUUCUGCAGCAUCUAGAGGGACACCUUGAGUGCUAUAUGGAGGUGAAGAAUGAACCAUAGGUGUUGGAACAGGGGCACAUCCAAGCAUUCCUGUUUCAUGAAGAAGAUCCAUGGUAUAUUUGCGUUGUGAAAGGUGGAUUCCAGUGCUGUUUCUGGCAACUUCCAGACCAAGGAAAAAAGUGAGAUUGCCCAGAUUCUUGAUUUUAAAAUGUUGAUGCAGCAGAUUGGUGAUGUGGGUGAUUUCCUCAGUGUUGUUCCCGGUGAGAACAAUGUCAUCAACAUACACAAGAAGAGCAGUUAUGUGAUUAUCAGUAGUUUUUAAGAAUAAUGAGUGAUCAGCAGUAGAUAUAAUGUAACCAUUAUUAAGUAAAAAAAUUGGAUAAUUUGGCAUACCAUUGUCUGCCGGCCUGACGUAGACCAUAGAGGGAGCGUUGCAGUUUGCAGACAAUAUGGGAAUUAGGAACAACAACUCCAGGUGGUGGCUUCAUGUAGACUUCUUCAAGUAACUCUCCAUGAAGAAAGGCGUUGUUAACAUCGAGCUGUUUCAGAUUCCAAUUAUGAGAUGCAGCUAGCGCAAGUAACAAGCGCAGGGUAGUCAGCUUUGCGACCGGGGCAAAGGUGUCAAGGAAGUCGAGUCCUUCAAGUUGGGUGUAACCCUUGGCAACGAGGCGUGCUUUGUAGCGAUCAAUCGUGCCAUCAGAUUUGUGUUUGAGUUUGUAAAUCCAUCGACAUCCAAUUGCUUUCUUUCCCGAUAGCAGAGGCACAAGAAUCCAUGUAUGAUUAGCUGAGAGAGCUUCCAGUUCGUCCGCCAUGGCCUUUUUCCAGCAGUCAUGUUUGGAAGCAUCCUCAUAAUUUUUGGGUUCAAUAGAAGAAGAAAAGGAAGUAAUAAGACCUUUAAAAUUAGGAGAUAAAGCAGAAUAUGAUACAAAAUCAGUAAUGGGAUAUUUAGUACUUACACUGUGUGUAGAUGACGAAUCAGUAUUGAAGUCCUGAAGGUAAGCGGGAGGUCUCUUUGCCCUGGUUGAUCUCCUUGGUGAAGUAUUAGUCAUAUUUCCAGUGGGUAUAAUGAGCUCAGUAGCAGUAUUGCAAUUGUCAGAAAAAAAAUCAUAGUGUGAAUUGUAAGACUGUGGAAUAGGCAGAGACAAAUUGUUGGGACUAUCAUUUUUAUCAUCUUUCAAAUUAUAUGGAAAGAUAUUUUCAUAAAAGACAGUAUGUCUUGAGAUCUCAAUUUUAUGAUUUUUAAGAUUAAGAAAAAGGUAACCUUUAGUGUGAGGUUGAAAACCUAAAAAAAUACCAGACACAGAUCUGUCAUCAAGUUUCUUUCUGUGAGAAGUAAUAGUGCUAGAAUAACAAAGACAACCGAAAACACGCAAAGAAGAAAUAUCAUAAAGAAAGCCAUGUAACUUUUCAUAAGGAGUCACGUUUUGCAAUAAAGGGGUUGGGAUACAAUUAAUUAGUAAAACAGCAUCCAAAACAACAAAUUGCCAAAAGAUGGGGGGUAAAUUGGCUUGAAAAAGCAAAGCACGAGUAACAUUAAGAAUAUGCUGGUGUUUACGUUCGGCAAUACCGUUUUGUUCCGGUGUCUCAACACAAGUUUUUUGAUGGAUUAUGCCUUUAGAAGAAAACAGAUUAUUCAUGGCAAAUUCAGCACCAUUAUCAGAGCGUAUAGUUUUGACAGUGGUGUGAAAAUGAUUUUCAACAUAAGAUAAAAAACUAAUAAUGUGUGUUCUAACUUCAGAUUUCAUGCACAUAGGAAUCACCCAAGUAUAACGAGAAAAAUCAUCCACAAUAGUUAAAAAAUAUCGAAAACCAUGCAUGGAAAUAAUAGAACAAGGGCCCCAAAUAUCCAUAUGUAAAAGAUCAAAGAUAUUAGAAGUAUUGGAAUUACUUAAAGGGAAAGAGAGUUUUCUUUGUUUUGCUCUAUGGCAAGUAUCACACNNNNNNNNNNNNNNNNNNNNNNNNNNNNNNNNNNNNNNNNNNNNNNNNNNNNNNNNNNNNNNNNNNNNNNNNNNNNNNNNNNNNNNNNNNNNNNNNNNNNACAUGCAUUCUUUCAUUAGAAAGAUGUCCCAGUCUAUUGUGCCACACAUUAACAUCCUUAGAAAUACAAUGAACAGAAGGAAUGUAUCUGUUGGAGGCAUUUCUUUGAAAGAUAGAAGGAUGAAAAACAUACAAGCCAUUUUUGGCCUCAACUAUACCAAUCUUCUCUUUCGUUAAAUUGUCCUGUAUCACACAAUCCUUAGAUGAGAAAAUCAAAUGACAGUUCAAAUUUAAAGCAAGUUUGGAUGCAGAAACAAGAUUGAAGGUAAACUCAGGCACAUACAAAACAUCAGUAAGGUAAAGUUUAUCAUUAAAAGCCACAGUUCCAGAACAACUAGUAUAAAAUCGAUGACCAUUCGGCAAACUGAUAAGGACAGGUUUAAUAAUUUUAUAUGAUGUAAAAUCAGAUAAACAAGUACAAACAUGAUCAGUUGCUCCUGAAUCUAAUAUCCAAGAACCUUUAACAGUAGUAUAGACAUUAGAGAAAAUGACAUUACCCGUUAAAGAAUCCUUUUGAUCUUUAUUGACAGCAAAAGAGCCCACUUGAUUCAACUGUACAGGGGGUUGAUUUGCAAUAUUAUUGAUGGAGUUUUGCUUGAUCAGUGCUGAUAAAACUUGAUAUUGUUGGACUGUGAAUACAGAGGGCAUGUCCCCAUUUAUCUGUUCUUGUUGACAAAUUUCAGAAGAAACAUCAUCAGUUACAUUAGCAUUGAGUAAAGGAGUGGUCCUGCUAUUAGGUGGGUUAUAACCCGGAGGGAAACCAUGUUUCCUGUAACAAGUAUCAAUGGUAUGACCAUUCUUGCCGCAAUGGGUACAAAUCUUUCUAUUGCUAUUGAACCUAAACUUUUUAUUUUCCUGAUUGGGAAACCCCACCUUUUUGAAGCAAAUAUUCUCAGUGUGACCAAAUUUUCCACAGAAAGAGCAAGUAGGAGCAGAAUUACGACUAGCACUAGCAUGGUUAAUAUUCGGAAUCAAAAAGUUACUUGCUAAUUGGCGUUCUUGCUGGGCUACCAAAGAAAUUUUUUUAGAAAUAGGUGGUACCGGUUCCAUAAGAAGAACGUGCGAUCGAAUGUUGUUGAAUUGGUCAUUAAGCCCACGUAGAAAUUGCAUAGCAUGGUCUUCGCGUUUUCUUUUACUGAUAUCAGAAGCUACAGAGGAAGUACACUUAACUUGACAAACACAUACAGGGUUAGGUUGAAAGUUAUCAAGCUCAUCCCAAAUAACUCUGAGUUUUGUAAAAUAGUCAAUUACACAUAAAUCAUUCUGACUCAAUGAGGAUGCUUCAGAUUGCAAAUCAGAAAUCCUAGAGAGAUCACCUUGCGAAUAUCUGGUUUUCAAGUCGUUCCAGAUAUCGACAGCUACAUCCAUCCAAAUAAUACUUUGUCUAAUAGGGAGAGAUACCGAAUGUACUAACCACGAAACAACCAUGUUGUUGCAUCUAAUCCAAGCUGAUUAUGUAGAGUCGUUCGUUGGUGGACAGGGAUGAGUACCCAAAACGAAUUCCACCUUAUUCUUUGCACUCAGCGCUGUUACGAUGGACCUGCUCCAGGAAUGGUAAUUCGUCGAGUCAAGCACUGGCGAGACCAAUGAAGCUGCUGGAUUCUCACCAGGAUGGAGAUACAGGUAACUGCUUGUGGAGGGUUCCAACGUUGGUGUAGUUGUUCUCGUUGUUCGUCCUUCUGCCAUUUCGCUGAAAGAAAACAAGAAACAGGUCGUAAACACAUAAAAGAUUCAUAAAGAAAGAGAAGAUGAAAGGAGAGUAGAGCGCGCAGCAGAGCUCUUCAAAGGAAGAGCUCUGAUACCAAAACAGAGUCGACGCAAGACUAUGCAAUUGAUAGAGCAAACUUGCGGAAGCUUGAAAUGAGUCCAAGGAAGAAGCCUUGAUUAACAAGAGAGAAACAAGAAGCAAGAGAUGCAGAAACCCUAAGGUUGCAAUGAGAAGAACAGAGAUAGGGUAAAGCAAUGUCGUGAAGAAAAAGAAGAAGAAAGGGAAAAAGGAAUAUCAAUUCAAUAUUACUGAAAAACCCAAUCUGUCAAAGCAUUACAAAAGUGAAUAUAUGGUACUGGAAAGGAAAAAGCAGAAAUAAAGGCCCAAAGAUCCAGAGGCCCAAAAAAUAGAAAAACCCAAUAAAAACAUAACAGAUAUUCUUUAUCACU